Molecule: ribosomal RNA, 468 nt
Filed under: uncultured bacterium
Lineage: Bacteria
Description: partial 16S ribosomal RNA
Rfam family: Bacterial small subunit ribosomal RNA
Source: RNAcentral
GACGAACGCUGGCGGCGUGCUUAACACAUGCAAGUCGAACGGAAAGGCCCUGCUUUUGUGGGGUGCUCGAGUGGCGAACGGGUGAGUAACACGUGAGUAACCUGCCCUUGACUUUGGGAUAACUUCAGGAAACUGGGGCUAAUACCGGAUAGGAGCUCCUGCUGCAUGGUGGGGGUUGGAAAGUUUCGGCGGUUGGGGAUGGAUUCGCGGCUUAUCAGCUUGUUUGUGGGGUAGUGGCUUUCCAAGGCUUUGACGGGUAGCCGGCCUGAGAGGGUGAACGGCCACAUUGGGACUGAGAGACGGCCCAGACUGCUACGGGAGGCAGCAGUGGGGAAUAUUGCACAAUGGGCGGAAGCCUGAUGCAGCAACGCCGCGUGCGGGAUGACGGCCUUCGGGUUGUAAACCGCUUUCGCCUGUGACGAAGCGUGAGUGACGGUAAUGGGUAAAGAAGCACCGGCUAACUACGUG